Molecule: ribosomal RNA, 465 nt
Filed under: uncultured bacterium
Lineage: Bacteria
Description: partial 16S ribosomal RNA
Rfam family: Bacterial small subunit ribosomal RNA
Source: RNAcentral
CCUACGGGAGGCAGCAGUAGGGAAUCUUCCACAAUGGGCGAAAGCCUGAUGGAGCAACGCCGCGUGGGUGAAGAAGGUCUUCGGAUCGUAAAACCCUGUUGUUAGAGAAGAAAGUGCGUGAGAGUAACUGUUCACGUUUCGACGGUAUCUAACCAGAAAGCCCCGGCUAACUACGUGCCAGCAGCCGCGGUAAUACGUAGGUGGCAAGCGUUAUCCGGAGUUAGUGGGAGUAAAGGGAACGCAGGCGGUCUGUUAAGUCUGUUGUGAAAGCCGUCGGCGUAACCGGGGUAGUGAAUGGGAAACUGGGAGACUUGAGUGCAGAAGAGGAAAGUGGAACUACAUGUGUAGCGGUGAAAUGCGUAGAUAUAUGGAAGAACACCAGUGGCGAAGGCGGCUCUCUGGUCUGGAACUGACGCUGAGGUUCGAAAGCGUGGGGAGCAAACAGGAUUAGAUACCCCUGUAGUC